Brassica napus (rape) is the source of this 2218-nucleotide long non-coding RNA. RefSeq lists it as uncharacterized. The record is from RefSeq and is a predicted model, not a curated record. The transcript has 2 exons. NCBI's taxonomy places the organism in Eukaryota, Viridiplantae, Streptophyta, Magnoliopsida, Brassicales, Brassicaceae.
AUGUUUUUCAUUUAUCUUUCCCACAGUCGGCGCCAAAAUGUAGAACCUCAAAUCUACACUAAGUAUUUGAUAGUGAUCAGGGUUUGAUCUAGGGAAGACAAAUGAUGUAGGCAACGAUAUCUUUAGAAUACAACGAUGUUAAACAAUUUCCAGUAGGUAAAAAUGGACUUUAUUGAUGAAUAAGGUCGAAUACAAUAAGUUGAACUAGAUCGAGUGAUACAAAUGAGAUCCGUAAAGAAAGAAUCUAAGAUUAUGAGAACAAGGUCGAUGUAAGUGUGUAGCUCUCUCUCUAGGGUUUUCAACGUGUCCUUCUUCAUGUCCGUUCUCCUUCCUUUAUAGUAAGUCGACCUCGUGAUCUUCGUAACUGCUCCACGAUCUCCGGGACUGCUCCGCGAUCUCCGGGACCCCGGAGUCUUCGUUUUCGAGCUCGAUUGCUUGCUAUGGGCUUCAGUUCCUUACGGCCCAUAUCUUUGAUCGCAGCCCAUUAAUGUACUGACCGAAAUUGGGUCCAACAGAUAUGUAUUUUAAGUGAGUAGCAAAUGAUUUUGUCCAAUUAUAUGUAUAUUAUAUGAUUUUGAGCCAUGUGCAUCAGUAUAAAUAUUUUGAAUAUAAUUAGAGAAGUAAACUAUAAAUAUAGGGUCAACUAUUCAUAUGUUCGGUUAUCUACAAAUAUCUAUUCGGAUUCGAAUAUUACCCAUUCGGGUUCGGAUAUUCAAUCUCUUCUAAUUCAAUACAUGUUCGGGUAUUUUGCUACUUCGGUUCGAAUUUCGGAUCGGUUUUUUGGCUCGGAUUCGGAUUUGGGUUCAAAUAUCGGAUAAAAUGUCCACCUCUAGUUGGGGCUGAUUGGAGCCUUGGAGGAGUCGCCGGGUGACCAACAGGUAGACAUAGAAGGUGACAUUUUCUGCUUGCCAGUACCCUAUCUGUAAAGCUCAUUCGCUCAGUUGCACACUGGGGAUGAAAACGAGACAUGAGGUAUCAGAAACUAUUUGGAUAUUGAUUUUGCCGAAUUUAUACCCCGAUACAAAAAUUCAGUUUGGCUAAAUUUUUUCCGGGCAACAAUGUGGUCUUUCCACAGGUCAGAGGCUUGUAAGUGUAGAGAUUAUUGAUCUAGGAUUGCUUAAAUUUUAAGUCAUCUAUGGACCUAAACUAACCUUGAAGUAAAAAACACAAGUAAUUGAACGCGUUCUCGGCCUCUAACCGGUAUGUGUCAUUUGAGAACUUCUGCUCCCAACACCAAUAGAUCAAAGAAAUCACCCACAACCUUGUGAUGUUUAGUGUUUAGGCCUAAGCUAUUUUAUCUAUAGCGUUGUUGUCUAUGUUCUCCUUGUGCUUUCUUCAUAUCUUCUAAUGUCAUUGUUCUUGAGUUUCUUCUGUUGCAGGUUACAGCCGUUAAACCCAAAUCACCUCACAAGCAUGUAUAUUUAUAUCUUUCUCACGGAUUCUUCAUGAUGGGCUGGUAAUGGAGUUGGCUUGGCCCAUCUCAGCUAAGACCGUGGCCCAAACCCUUUUCAUAUGGACAUGCACAAAACCAACAAAUCUCCACCUGUUUGUUUGAGUCCAACACGGCCCAUUCUUCAAGGCCACAUCCCACCACGUCUCUUUGUCUUUCUCGGACCAAGAAGAGAUCAGUCUAGACUCUUCAUGUCUCUCUCUUAUCCAUGCGAAAUCUUAGCUCUCAAUCGGUUCUCUUUCUCCUUUCCGGUGAGCGGUGUCGCAACCACCGUCGACGUAACCAGUACUCACAUCCUUGCUGGUACGCUCUAAAUAAGGAUCACUCAGCAGGAUUGUAAUUGGAUAACGAUGAAUUGAAGGGUCGCACAAAAGUUGCAGAAGGCUGUUGAUAUUUCCGAACUCCGGUUGUUGCUUGAUAAGACGCACAAGUCUAACAAAAAAGAGGUUGUUAACUUGGACGUUACGCACCAAAAAACAAGAAAUGUUCUAAGCAAAGAACAGAGAUAUAAACUCAUUAAAAGGGGGAAAAUCGAUUAUGUUAUUCAUGUGCACAUGUGAUUAUAAUUUUAUAUUAGCAAUGGCCAAAGAAAGAUUUAAAGUUUCGUGGAAAACUAGAAACUUAGAAAACACAAACAAAGAUUAAGACUUUUGACCAUAAAUAAGUGUGUUGUUGAAUGUCCAUUUGUUUGACCAUGUUUCUGACUUCUUUUGUUGAUAUUUCUUGAUGCAAAUGGGCAAGAGACCAUCAGCAAAGGAAUGGUCGAAU